This is a long non-coding RNA of Dalotia coriaria, 1290 nucleotides long. RefSeq lists it as uncharacterized. The record is from RefSeq and is a predicted model, not a curated record. Lineage: Eukaryota; Metazoa; Arthropoda; Insecta; Coleoptera; Staphylinidae. The transcript is spliced from 3 exons.
GGUGUGUCCGCACGCGUUCCUCUUGCAAGCCUCGUUUGUUUCUUGUUUGAAGUUUAUCUAAAUUACUAAUAAGAAAUUUAUUUCAUUUUAUCGGUAUUUGUGUUGUAAAUUUGAGGUACGUUGCGUUAUAUCACUGAAAAUUGAAUUCGUUACGAAAAAUGGAUUGUAACGAUAAUCCAGCAUUUACGGCAUGUGCUUGCUGCAAACCACGGGGAACAUCAGUUGUAGUACGCCAUCGUUUCACUGUAAUUUUGUCUGCGGAUUUGGUUUAUCGACGUUAUGGUUCAUCCGAGAUGAAUUCAACGCCAUUUAUCCUUGCAGGAUACACUAGAAUGACUAGAAGUUUGCAAAUUCCGAUGUCCUAAGAUGUUAGAGGAAUAAACUCCAGGUUCUUUGACAACGUGUUAUUGAACAUUAAAAUCAAUGUGUUUUUUUAAGUUCAAGUUUUUGACGCAGAUUGAUAAGCAGAACGCUGGCUUUGAAGAAAACUGAAAAAGGAUGAAGAAGAAUAAUUGGUCGUUAUCUGACACAUUCCCUGUCAGAUAAGCUCGCUUACCACCAACUCUAUAUUUGUCCUGCAUAGUAUUCCGGAAGAGAGAAGGUAGACAAAAGGAAUGUGACCUGUUCUUAACAAAAUUUAUUUGUAUAUUAUCAAAAUAAGUGAGGAAAGUUUAAUAUUGCUGAUAAACAGCACCAAAUUUAAUACGCUCAGAAAUUGAAACCGCACAAGUCUUAUAGUCUAGUUUCAUUGUUUCAAAGUAUAGUUAUUAUUUGUUGAAAACAAUGCAAUACUUGUGUUAACAGUGUGAUAUGAUUUAGAAAGACAGCGCAAAAUUUGCAAAACGUAUGUAACAAAUUUUAUUCAAACAGCAUAGACAGCGCAUGACUGUUCUAAAUUUAAUUUACCCACUUGAGAAAAUAGAGCAUGACACACUGUAUUUAAGGCGUCCUAACUUGCGAUAUAUAUUUAAUGAGGCCAGAAAUAUGUAUCAAUUUGUAUGAUUAUUGUAAUAUGUGUCUGUGAUAAAUGUGCACGAUUUUUCUGUUAUCAUAUUAGAAAUUAGUAUAUAAGUGAAUAUUGUAGGUAUUUGUGUGUUGUGUCAUCUUUUGUUACACAUGUCGUAGAAAUUAGGUAGACUUAUUGUAAUAUGUUGAUCUAGUAGGAGUAAUGGUAAUAAUUAGUAGUAAUAUCAAGUAAGGCAUGGUCGUGGUUUUUGUGCGUAAAUUUAAAUGUGCAUUGUUAUUCCAUUGUUAAUUUACGUUGUGAUUUUGAUUGCACCUUGUGUUAUU